UACGGAGGGUGCAAGCGUUACUCGGAAUCACUGGGCGUAAAGAGCGCGUAGGCGGGAUAGCAAGUCAGAUGUGAAAUCCUAUGGCUUAACCAUAGAACUGCAUUUGAAACUGUUGGUCUUGAGUAUCGGAGAGGCAGGCGGAAUUCCUAGUGUAGCGGUGAAAUGCGUAGAUAUUAGGAGGAACACCAGUGGCGAAGGCGGCCUGCUGGACGACAACUGACGGUGAGGCGCGAAAGCGUGGGGAGCAAACAGG
This 253-nucleotide ribosomal RNA is filed under the name uncultured Oscillospira sp. Its description in RNAcentral is "partial 16S ribosomal RNA". It matches the Rfam family "Bacterial small subunit ribosomal RNA", at positions 524 to 776 of the family's 1533-position model. The record is from RNAcentral. Lineage: Bacteria; Bacillati; Bacillota; Clostridia; Eubacteriales; Oscillospiraceae.